This 1042-nucleotide long non-coding RNA is filed under the name Struthio camelus australis. RNAcentral's name for it is "lncRNA (ENSSCUG00000006906.1)". The record is from RNAcentral. Lineage: Eukaryota; Metazoa; Chordata; Aves; Struthioniformes; Struthionidae.
GGUUAACCACUCUGUGUAAGAGAUCAAUGCCAAGUCGAAAGUGCGGUCAUUUCAGGCUGUGGAACAUGCUGGAUUUCAUCUUAUGGAGUAUCUUUCUUCUGGUAGAUAUUUUCAUCUGUUUCAUUUCAUUCUUCAAGUGGCUUAUGACACUGGUAUUAGUGGAGGCUAAAACCGGCAUCUGCCUAUCUCCAUGCAUCAGCCCAGGAGAGCAAUCCCUGUCCUUUCUGAAACUUGGGACGACCAGCAAGCAGUUGUGUGCCUGACCCUGGGCUCAUCAGCACGUGUGCUAGCAACAAGAUGAGAACAGCCUUGAUGCUCUUGACCAUGAUCUUCCAUAAUGGCUUAGUGAAAGUAUUCAAACUUUUAAGUUUGAAAAUUGCAUCAAUGUAAAGCAUUGGGCUAUGCCUAGAAGAAAACAAAAGAAACAGAGAAAGGAUGCUGGUGAGCUGCUUGGUCUGACAGCAGUGGAAAGGUGCCACAUUUUCGCUCAUCUGCCCCUGUGAGUGCUCAGUGGCAGAGGAGUCCUCUUUUUGACUUCAGUGGGAGCUGAAUUUGGCUGGAAGACAGAUCAAAGGCUGACACCCCGGGCAAGAAACACCAAGCACAAUUUAUGCACUGGUGUGAGCGUCGUUCCAUCACCCGUUUUCACACACCCCCCUCAGAUGCCCUUUUUCCAGUGCCAAACCGAACAUAAGAGCCUUGGGAACCCGCUAGCGGCGUCAGGGAGAUGACAGCUCUCCGGCUGGAUGCUGAACGGAAACGCGGGGACUGCUGUGCCUGUUCUCUGCUGAAGGAUCUGCUUUCCUCGUCUCUGGAAGUGCAAGAACAAAAUUCAACCCCUGCUGCCAGAGAGCGCGUAGGACGACAGGUCAGCAUGGCUUACACUUCACGAGCUCUUCUGGCAGAGACACUCAGCCCCCAGCAACGCUUCGUGGCCAAAGUGGCUCCCCUUCUUUUAGUACGGAGACUGCUCUACAGCUCUCUUAUCUGCAUAGCUCAAGCAAACACUGCAGUCAUAAAAUACACCCCCUCUGUAUAUUGA